Molecule: ribosomal RNA, 406 nt
Filed under: uncultured bacterium UPB C7
Lineage: Bacteria
Description: bacterial SSU rRNA
Rfam family: Bacterial small subunit ribosomal RNA
Source: RNAcentral
GAUUGAACGCUGGCGGCAGGCCUAACACAUGCAAGUCGAACGGUAACAGGAUAGCUUGCUAUCGCUGACGAGUGGCGGACGGGUGAGUAAUACUUAGGGAUCUGCCUCUGUGUGGGGGAUAACUAUUGGAAACGAUAGCUAAUACCGCAUAAUGUCUACGGACCAAAGCGGGCUUCGGCUCGUGCGCAGAGAGGAACCUAAGCGAGAUUAGCUAGUUGGUGAGGUAAAGGCUCACCAAGGCGACGAUCUCUAGCUGUUCUGAGAGGAAGAUCAGCCACACUGGAACUGAGACACGGUCCAGACUCCUACGGGAGGCAGCAGUGGGGAAUAUUGCACAAUGGGGGAAACCCUGAUGCAGCCAUGCCGCGUGUGCGAAGAAGGCCUUCGGGUUGUAAAGCACUUUCAG